GACGAACGCUGGCGGCGUGCUUAACACAUGCAAGUCGAACGGAAAGGCCCUGCUUUUGUGGGGUGCUCGGGUGGCGAACGGGUGAGUAACACGUGAGUAACCCGCCCUUGACAUUGGGAUAACUUCUGGAAACUGGGGCUAAUACCCGAUAGGAGCUCCUGCUGCAUGGUGGGGGUUGGAAAGUUUCGGCGUUUGGGGAUUGACUCGCGGCUUAUCAGCUUGUUGGUCGGGUAGUGGCUUACCAUGGCUUUGACGGGUAGCCGGCCUGAGAGGGUGACCGGCCACAUUGGGUCUGAGAUACGGCCCAGACUCCUACGGGAGGAAGCAGUGAGGAAUAAUGCACAAAGGGCGGAUGCCUGAUGCAGCAACGCCGCGUGCGGGAUGUCGGCCUUCGGGUUGUAAACCGUUUUCGGCUAUGACGAAGCGUGAGUGAGGGUAAUGGGUAAAGAAGCACCGGCUCAAUACG
This 466-nucleotide ribosomal RNA is filed under the name uncultured bacterium. Its description in RNAcentral is "partial 16S ribosomal RNA". It matches the Rfam family "Bacterial small subunit ribosomal RNA", at positions 28 to 505 of the family's 1533-position model. The record is from RNAcentral.